Molecule: unclassified non-coding RNA, 1007 nt
Filed under: Camponotus floridanus (Florida carpenter ant)
Lineage: Eukaryota; Metazoa; Arthropoda; Insecta; Hymenoptera; Formicidae
Description: uncharacterized LOC112638418, transcript variant X1
Source: RNAcentral
AAGUCGCCAAAAAGCUACUUUAGCUUUGACGAUGAAGAAGUUUUAAUUUUAGAGAUAAGAGUUCGAGAACCUCUCUGGAACUUCCAGUUAAACAAGAAAGAAAUACAAGAAUUACAAAUAAAUUGUGGAACGAAGUAUCACAAGCAUUGGGAGUAAAAUUAGUGCUGAAGGAGCCAAAUAAAAAUUUAAAAGCCUACACAACACAUACAGAAAAUAAUUCAAGUUGAGAACUUAGCAAGCGGAUCUGCAAGGAAUAACUUAGAUAGAAAAUGGCGCCAUUAUGAAUCUAUGGACUUCUUAAGAGAUUCAUGUUUGAUAAAACAAACUGUUUCAAACAUGUUCUGUUGAGGCAGAACAUAAGGCUUCCAAUAUUAAUGAUGAAGAUAAGACAUCUUCCAAUGAAUCCUCUCGGGAAAGAAAAAGAUUACGUAUCAAACAGUGUACUUGAGAAGAUUGCUGAUGCUUUGAUAAAUCAAGAACCAGUUUUGCCGUUGCUACUCCCGCCACAAGUAGACGAAGUCGAUGCAUUUCUAAUAAUGCUAGAUCACAGGAUUAAAAUUACCAGAAGAAAAGCAAGUGGAAGCAAAGCUACCCCAAUAGCCAAGUCUGCUAAAGCAGAUCUUGUCAGGGAAUCUGUUACAAAUUGUUGUCGACAGAAUCGAUGCAGAUUCUGAUAUAUCAUGUGAUGUCGGCAGAAUGUCAACAGAAAUAUAAUAAAGUUUGUUAACAUAAUCAGUUACCAGAUUGGCAGCAAAAAUCGAACAGAUUCUGCCGGCAUAACUUAGUGGCAGAUUGGUGGCACAAAAUUGAACAGGAUCUGUGCGAUGCAAUUUGACAACAGAUUGUCGGCAAAAAUCGAGCAGGAUCUGCGCAUACAAUCUCAGAUUGAUGGCAGAAAUGGAACAGGGUUUGCAUAAUUCGAUAGUUCCUUCACUUACCGCUACGUGAGCUGUACUUUCUCGUAAUUGAAUUUCUGUCAGAAAUAUAUAUAAAGUCGCGAAUAUGAA